AACGUAGGAGGCGAGCGUUAUCCGGAUUCACUGGGCGUAAAGCGCGUGCAGGCGGUUCGGUAAGUUGGGUAUGAAAUCUCCUGGCUUAACUAGGAGAGGUUAUCCAAUACUACCGGACUUGAGAGUGGUAGAGGAAGAUGGAAUUCCCGGUGUAGUGGUGAAAUGCGUAGAUAUCGGGAGGAACACCAGUGGCGAAAGCGAUCUUCUGGACCAUUUCUGACGCUCAGACGCGAAAGCUAGGGUAGUAAACGGGAUUAGAAACCCUGUAGUCCCUGAGAC
Molecule: ribosomal RNA, 279 nt
Filed under: uncultured bacterium
Lineage: Bacteria
Description: partial 16S ribosomal RNA
Rfam family: Bacterial small subunit ribosomal RNA
Source: RNAcentral